This is a long non-coding RNA of Phasianus colchicus (ring-necked pheasant), 396 nucleotides long. Lineage: Eukaryota; Metazoa; Chordata; Aves; Galliformes; Phasianidae. The record is from Ensembl.
AUGGGGUGCUAUGGGGUGCUAUGGGGUGGCACUGGGUGCUAUGGGGUGCCAUGAGGUGCCAUGGGGUGCUAUGGGGUGCUAUGGGGUGCCAUGGGUUACAAUGGGAUGCUAUGCGGUCCUAUAGGGUGCUAUGGGGCGCUAUGGGGCGCUAUGGGGCGCUAUGGGGCGCUAUGGGGCAUUAUGGGGCAUUAUGGGAUGGCACCGACCAGGUCCUGGUGGAACAGGACGUGCUGCUGCCCCGGAGCCAAAGGGAAGACGGUGGUGGGGGUGACGGAGCGCAGAUGCCAUAAAGUCAGAGCCGGACCCCCCCCGCACACCUGGGGGGGACAGAGGGGGUGGGACCAGCCCCAAAAAGACCCCAAAAACCCCAAAUCCAACCCAAAGACCCCAUAUCCC